ACGCAGUCCCCAGGUUGAGUUUUGGUAUAGAGAAGAGUCUUCUCAACCUCUCUCCGAUUUUGAGGCCCUCGUCACUAUUGGUCAAGUUCUUCGAUUUGAAGAAGGAGCGAGUCCGAUUCAUUGUUGUUCAUUGGUAACCUAAGGGACAUCAGAGUUUAAGCCAACACCUCCUGAAAAACUAGAGCAGGGACUGUGUUUCAAUUACGUUGGCCUGUUUACUUAUCAAGGAAAGCAUCAAUCAAGAAACCGCUAAACCUCAAAAUGGAAGGGAGUGAAGAAGGAAAGUAAAACCAUAGUGGAAAAUAAUCUCCUUGGAUGCAUUUUCAACAUUCAAAUCUUUCAAAGGAGCAAAUUCUUGACUGGAUAUUGAGAAACUGCCUUGCAGCACAACUCUCUUCUUUCGAUAUUGCAUUGCUAUUGUUGUUGCUGUAGUGAAAGGUUGGAGUACUAGGAGUGGUGAUUAGCUAGGCUAUGCCUUAAGCAAAUUAAGAUCAUGGCACCAAAGAAUAGAGC
RNAcentral lists this long non-coding RNA (513 nucleotides) under Rosa chinensis. Its description in RNAcentral is "sRNA RchiOBHm_Chr6g0291791". The record is from RNAcentral. Lineage: Eukaryota; Viridiplantae; Streptophyta; Magnoliopsida; Rosales; Rosaceae.